UAACGCUGGCGGCGUGCUUAACACUUGCAAGUCGAACGAACUUCGCGGUUAGUGGCGGACGGGUGAGUAACGCUGAAUCUGCCCUCAGGAGGGGGACAACAGUUGGAAACGACUGCUAAUACCCCAUAUGCCGCGAGGUGAAAUGAAUUUCGCCUGAGGAUGAGCUCGCGUCUGAUUAGCUAGUUGGUGUAGGUAAUGGCUCACCAAGGCAUCGAUCAGUAGCUGGUCUGAGAGGAUGAUCAGCCACACUGGGACUGAGACACGGCCCAGACUCCUACGGGAGGCAGCAGUGGGGAAUUUUCCGCAAUGGGCGAAAGCCUGACGGAGCAACGCCGCGUGAGGGAUGAAGGCCUCUGGGCUGUAAACCUCUUUUAUCAAGGAAGAAGAUCUGACGGUACUUGAUGAAUAAGCCACGGCUAAUUCCGUGCCAGCAGCCGCGGUAAUACGGGAGUGGCAAGCGUUAUCCGGAAUUAUUGGGCGUAAAGCGUCCGCAGGCGGCCCUUCAAGUCUGCUGUUAAAAAGUGGAGCUUAACUCCAUCAUGGCAGUGGAAACUGUUGGGCUUGAGUGUGGUAGGGGCAGAGGGAAUUCCCGGUGUAGCGGUGAAUGCGUACGAUAUCGGGACGAACACAGGUGGGAAAGGCGGCUUCUGCUGGGCCACUCACUGACCGCUCAUGGACGAAACGCCAGGGAGCGAAGGGGAUUAGAUCCCCCCUGUUGUUCUUGGCCCGUACUGAUUAACCACUUAGGUUGUCGGGGGGAAUCGCAACCCCUCGGGUGUUCGUGCCACACGCGGUUAGUUGUUCCGGCUCUGGUGGAGUUCCGCCACGCGUUGUUGACCCUCCAGGCCUUG
RNAcentral lists this ribosomal RNA (851 nucleotides) under uncultured Synechococcus sp. Its description in RNAcentral is "bacterial SSU rRNA". It matches the Rfam family "Bacterial small subunit ribosomal RNA". The record is from RNAcentral. Lineage: Bacteria; Bacillati; Cyanobacteriota; Cyanophyceae; Synechococcales; Synechococcaceae.